GAUGAACGCUGGCGGCGUGCCUAACACAUGCAAGUCGAGCGAACAGACCAGGAGCUUGCGCCUCUGACGUUAGCGGCGGACGGGAGAGUAACACGUGUAUAACCUACCUAUAAGACUGGGAUAAUUACGGGAAACCGGAUCUAAUACCGGAUAAUAUAUUGAACCGCAUGGGGCAAUAGUGAAAGUCGGUUGUUCGGUCAGUAAUAGAUGGAUCCGCGCCGGAUUAGCUAGUUGGGAAGGUAAAGGCUUAGCAAGGCUACGAGGCGUAGCCGACCUCAGAGGGGGGUCGCCCACACGGGAAGAGAGACACGGUCCAGACUCCGGAGGGAGGACGCAGUAGGGAAUCUUACGCAAUGGGCGAGAGGGUGACAGAGCAACGGCGCGUGAGUGAUGAAGGUCUUAGGCUCGGAAAGCUCUGUUAUUAGGGAAGAACAAAUGUGUAUGUAACCGUGCAGGUAUUGACGGUACCUAAUGAAAAAGCCCCGGCUAACUACGUG
This 497-nucleotide ribosomal RNA is filed under the name uncultured bacterium. Its description in RNAcentral is "partial 16S ribosomal RNA". It matches the Rfam family "Bacterial small subunit ribosomal RNA", at positions 28 to 507 of the family's 1533-position model. The record is from RNAcentral.